GAGAGUUAAAUAAUUCACAAAUUCAGCAAGCAACUCUUGUCCCAAAUAGCACCUAUGGAAAUGGUGCAAGUG
This 72-nucleotide transfer RNA is filed under the name Synechococcus sp. CC9902. Its description in RNAcentral is "tRNA-Thr". The record is from RNAcentral. Lineage: Bacteria; Bacillati; Cyanobacteriota; Cyanophyceae; Synechococcales; Synechococcaceae.